UCCCCAGGGAUUGGUGCUGGGUCUGGUCUUGUUCAAUAUCCUUUCGUCAGUGACCUGGAUGAAGGGAUGGAGUCCCCUCUCAGCAAGUUUGCUGAUGAUACAAAGCUGGGAGAAGUGGUUGACAUACCAGAAUGUUGUGCUGCCAUUCAGCGAGACCUGGGCAGGCUGGAGGCUUCGGCAGAGAGGAACCUAUUGAGGUUCAGCAAGAGCAGAUGUAGAGUCCUAUGCCUGAGGAGCAGUAACUGCAUGCAUCGAUGCAGGUUAGGGGACAACCUGCUGGAAAGAGCUCUACAGAGAAGGACCUGGGUGUCCUGGUGGGCAACAGGUUGGCCACAAGCCAGCAGUGUGCCCUUGUGGCCCAGAAGGCCAGUGGCAUCAUGGGGUGUGUUACAAAGAGCAUGGCCAGCAGGUUGAGGGAGGUGAUCCCUCUGCUCUGCUUUGGUGAGGCCACAUCUGGAGUGCUGUGUCCAGUUCUGGACUCCUCAGUUUAAAAAAAGAUAGUAAUAAUCUAGAGAGAGCCCAGUGGAGGGCCACAAAGAUGAUUCAGGGCCUGGAGCGUCUCCCUUAUGAGGAAAGGUGGAGAGCCCUGGGACUGUUCAGCUGGGGGAGGAGACAUCUGAGGGGGGAUCUUAUCAGUGCUUAUAAAUAUCUCAUUGGUGGGGGUCAAGUAGAUGGGGCCAGGCUCUUUUCAGUGGUGUGUGGUGACGAGAACAAGAGGCAAUGGGCAAAAAUGGAAACACAGGAAGUUGCAUCUGAACACGAGGAAAUACUUCUUCACUUUGAGGGUGACAGAGCACUGGAAGAGGCUGCCCGGAUAAACUGUGGAGUCUCCUCCUCUGGAUAUAUUCAAGACACACCUGGACACUUUCGUACAUAACCUACUGUAAGGAACCUGCUUCAGCAUGAGCUUCCAGUGAUUCAAAAGACAAUGAAGGAACAGAAGAAAGCGAUGAUGAAGGAAAAGUGAAAUAAAUUUAAUAUACUUUCACUAAUCAUUACAGUAUUUGGUUUUCCUAAUUUUGUUUGUUUCCUUGCAUGGCAAGUAAGUGAAAUUUUCCUGAAAGUAGUGAGAUUGAUUUUAGGCAGUACAGAUAGCUGAUACACGAUCUUCUGGCAUAUCUCUGUCAGUAUGCCUGUCUUAACUUUAAUUUUACAAGAUAUUUCAACCUUGGUCCUCAUUUACUUGUUAUAAGAAUGAUAGUGAAAUUGUUGUUAUGACUUUUAAAACACGUAUAAUGUUGUUCUAACAAUGGUUUCUUAGGUAGAGAUGGAAAAUAAAUAGUAGUUAAAGGUCAUGUAAGGAUAGACUAAGCAAGAUUAAGAGUAGCAGCAGCAAAACUAACCUGAUGGGAUGAUACAGCUUUCUGUAUCAGUGCAUGGACAUAACCUUUUUUUACCCUUGUUUUCACUUAGGAAAGCUAGAUAACUAUUCUGUCUAUCUCAUUACCAGUAAUUAUUUACUAAUUUUAUGACAUUAGCUACUGUUUCUCCAAGACUGUUUGAUUAACUUUUAUUUAUAUUAUUUCUUUCCUCAGGUCCUUUGGUUCUUCUCCUGAAGAAAGGUGUGCAUCUUAGCUCUACACAUGGAACCGUCACAAAAUGAAUCACAGAAAGCUGUGAGUUAGCAAAGUUAAUAAAUUCAUAAUAUCAAAUAGCAUCUCCACUUAAAAAACACUGAUUUGAUAUUUUUGUCAAAAUAAUCUUAACUUGAGGAAUUUUACUUAAUUGUAUUUUUAUUGCCAAUAAAUGCAAAUUUCUAAUCUCUAUAUUGAGGGGACCCUCCCACUCCCCCUAAAAAGUACAACCACUGGUGAAAAUAUAUAAGGAGUAAAACACUGCAGUAAGCAUCUUUCCUCCAUUUUAUCCAGUUUCCACAUAAGCCAAACACCUGUCCUCCCACCUCCUGAGCCUCUGAGCAACAUCCAGCGGUUGCUCUCUGUUUAUCCCAACUCCUUCAAAGAGGUGACAGGUGGUUCAGGAGGUUGGUGCUGUGUGCCUAAUGGUUUGUCUGUUGCUCCUCUGUGCUUCUUCCAGUUUCCCUCUGCUCCUAUGUGCUUCCUACUGGCCCUGUCCCAGCAUGGAUUGUCCGUGGGUUGCAGUCCCUCAGGGGUGAUCCUGUCCCAUUGUGGGUCUGUUGUGGCCACGGUCCCACAGCUGGGAUUUUAAACAAUUGCGUACAUAGAUUCUAAUAGUUCUUGUUAUAAAUUAAAACUAUUUGAGGUUUGGAAGUUCCAUAAAUGUUUGCUUCCUGCUGUGAUUAUCCUUUGACUAAUGUUGGCGGUUGUUUGAAUCUACACCUUGUUACUUCUUUCUCCUGUUUUGCUAGUCUGUAGUAGACCAACUGUCAGGGUAUUAAUCUCCCUCUUUUUUCAGCACUUAACAAACUCAGGGGCUUUCCAGAGAUCUAUCUCUUAUCCCUUUCUGGACUCCAGUCAAAAUAUUUGAAUUGUUGAUGUAGAAUACAGCAACUGAAUUAUAUGCUGUAGGCAUAUCUGAACUGUGACUGAAAAUCCACAGGAAUCAGUGUAAUUCUAGAUUGAUUCUAUUGGGAUAGAGGGAUUCUGAGGGAUUUCCAACAAAUGCCAUUCUUUUUCUGUGGGAUCCUUUGGCUGAUGAUAUUUGCUCCCCAGCAGUGAUGUUACUUUAAGUAUGUAUAAUCUUGAUGGACUCACCUUCAAUGAAUGGUUAUACACCCAUUUGUAUAUGUGUAUGCAAUGUCUCAGAACUGGAAUUACCAUCUGUGAAAUGAGCAAGCCAAAAGCGAUUAUUGCAGUGGACUGCUCAACAGAGGAACUUCAUGCUGUCCCAAAAGCACUGUUAAGGUUUCCUAAUGCCUACAAAGGCUGUGAAGUAUACAUGUCCUGAAUGCCUUGCAGUAUUUGUGCAGCAUUGCUAUUUCAAGGUCCGUAUUAGAGCUGAAAUAUCUACUAGGCUAAAAUUAUUCAUGUGUAAUACUCACAGUCUGGUAAACUAUUCAUGCUUAGUGUCAUUUUAUAAGCUUACAGAGAGUGAGACUAAUGAGGGGAAAAGUGCAGUUUGGUUCAGUGUAUUCCACAUCACUUUACAUUUAUUAGUGGGAAAAAAAUGGCCACUAGUAUAUUUCACACUUAAUACUAAUCCCACAUAUAUUUUUUUCUUUAUUCAGCACAAGUGUCCCAAGUAAAUUACUGGCUAACUUUUGAAAUUAAUAUGGAAGAAAAACCCACAAAUAACUAUCUGAUGAAACCCAUUAAAACCAUCCUUACAGAAAGCUGUGUUGUUGCAGUGAUAUUUGUUCCAACCAUAUGCAAAGAAAGAAAGAUGCAGAUACUUAAUUCAAAUAGAAGACUGUCUUCUGAUGGUGAUCAAAUCCAAAUGUCAUCUAUAUUUGUUGGGAAAAUUACUGAGGAUAUUUUAGAAUAUUUUGAGACACAAGAAAUGUAGCUCAAAAUAUAAAGAAAAUCUUACCACAGCAAUGAAUUGUUUUAAAUCUCUGGCAAGUUGCAAAGAUGAAAAAAUAAUAAUCUUAGAAAACAAGGAGGAAUACUCUGGAAAUAAUAAUCCUAAAUACACCCACGUGUUACAGCUCUGCAAUUUAUUAGCAUCCAGAAGUAGUAAGUAAUUAAUAUUCGUAAAUUUAGCUCAGUAAUUUAAACAGUGUAGAAAAAUCCUACACAGAUGUUACUGUAUUCCUGGAGAUGUGAUAUACUGAAGAAAACUUUGAUUGCAUUGCAUUCUGUCAGCUAAUUCACAAAUGUCUGUAUAUGUAGCCAGUUUUAGUAUCGCAGUGGUAUUUCCUAUCUUAUAAAAUUAAUUCAUGUUGUAUCAUUGUAUCUUACAGUACUCGUUACCUGAAGAAGGCUGAUAGUACAAAUUGGGCCUCCUGAGGCCAAUUGCAGGAUGCUUUGGUUGGAGCCAGUUUAUCUGUGGUAUCAAAUGUUGCAGCCAGUUCUAACAUAGUUUAUUUUGGCAAGAUUUCCUGUUUUUGCAUUAAAGAUUUGUGAAAACGAAGAAGCACUGUUCCUUCAAUGUUUAUAGGAAGGAGCAGAGCCAUUCUCAAGAGGCCGCUCUGCCAACAGGAGUCCUCCUGAGGACAGUGUCCUCCUGCUUCUGCAGAAGUUGGGAACCCUGGACCAACCUUCUGGGCUUUGAGUUCCUUCAGGUCCCUGCAGCGUUAUGUUACGGCACAUGGUUUUGUUAGCUACGUGUUUUUCAAAGCUUGAUUUAUUUGAUUAAUUGAACUAAUACAGCACCACAGAACCACGCUAGACCUGGAGUCAGUUUCUACCUUCUUCUGCCUCAAGAGUCCCAAGAGACCUCUGAGCUGCUUUCCCACUGCUUUUGUGAGGAGCGAGCUCCUCCUGCCACAUCAGUCCCGGGGCUGCAACUAAUUCUUCAAUCCAUUAAUUUCACAACCUGCUCCCUGUCUUCAUCUGCAGGGACCUCACAAAUGGGCUUACGUGGGUGAACCAUCCAUCUGGGCUGGCUGCAGUCUCCCAGCCAUUACUGAGGUAGACCCAUCAGCAUCGUGCCCUCACCAGCUCCCAUGGAUUGCCAGAAGAUGCUGAGGGGUCUCUGUAAAGAAGCUGCAGGUGAAACCUCUGCCUGCAAGCAGAACCUGCUCACAUGGAAAGAACUUGAUCUCUUUCCACCCACAAAGUUGGUAUCUGAAAAAAGCUUUGCUUUUACUUGGGCCAAUAGGAUCUAAGGAAAUAGCUAUUAAAAAAAAGUAAGUAUUUCUCUAGUUUCUAGUUUUCCUUUCCUUUUCCUUUUUGUGCGAGUGGAGGUGGAGGGAAUGAUCCUGGGGCAUAUGUUUCAUUCAGCGUGCCUGUGCCUUGAGGAAGGUCCUGUUCAGGUGCAGAAAGCAAUUUUUAAACUCUUUUUGAGCUGCAGCAGUGGAAAGCAUGGUAGACUCAGCAGUGGGGAAGGUCAGUGAUUUUGGUACUUCCAUGCAAGACCUCUAGAUAGUGCAAUCAAAAAAUGGACUACAGAAGGCAGAAAACUACAAGGACUGAAGUAAAUAUUUUGAUCAGCCUAACACCUGCUGAGCCUUUUUGUUUGUUAGCAGUUGCUUGGUUUGAUAAUUUCUGGAGGGCAGUUGAGUAAAGAACAGCUCAGUCCCAGCAGGUGAUUUUUGCAUCUCUUUGCACCAGCAGUCAUGGCUGAAAACAUCAGACCUUUUGACCUGCAGGUUUGUUGUAAUAUCAUUGUGUUGUAUGAAUUUGUAACUAUGAUUUUUUGACUGUUUCUUCUAGACAACAGUAAUGGAGUAGGGACUGUGAUUUACGAGAAAGACAACAUUUUAUGUAAAAGUUCAUAUGGCCUAAGAACUACUCAUGUUUUUUAAAUAUGAAGAGAUACUGCUCAGGAUCACAACUUGCAUUUAUUGAUUCUCUCCCCAUAAAAAAGUGUAGUCAUGAUCUAUUGUCACAUUAAAGUAGUACUUGGAAGAUUGUUAUGGAAUAAGUUAUCAGGUACAGAAAUGUUUUUAAAAGACCAUGUAUAGCUGUGAGAAAUACACUUUUAAGUUUAUUAGGCUUGCGUUUAUGCAUAUAAAUGAGCAAGCUGGUUUUCAUUAUAUCAGUAGUUGUUCAUGUUUACUGUCUUCAGAAACAAGCUGGUAAAGUUACAGAAGUAUAAAAGAAUUUUCUGGAAAAAAAAGAAAAAGGAAAAGAAAAAGUUUGUAUUCCUGACCUGUGUUCCAGAACAUUAAGAUGAUGGAUUAUUUAAUAUUUUCUCAGCAGUUAGAAGAGGUGAAGUGCCACAUCUGCUAAAAUCCUAAGUAACAAGCCAAUGUUAUUACAUGAUGUUAUUACUAUGACUGUUAAAAUUUCAAGCUUAUUUUUAUUUUGCGUGUUUCCAAAAUGAACUGAGAAUAGUGACUCAACUAAGAAAAUAUAGCAAACAUUUUUUAUACCUUUUCAAUUACUCUGUGUUUAUCAGCCUCCUUGUGUAUGAUUCAUUUUUAAUAAUCAACUUUUCCUGUGAUAAUUCUUUAUAAGCAUUAUUUUUCACAUUCAAAGGAACUUAUAUUUCUGAAAACAAAGACAAAUUAUACUUGUGGGCAAAAAAGACUUCAUCAUUUUCUGAAACUUCACAUAUCAUACUGAUGAAUGAUUAGGAUCCACAAUCAGUCAUUUUGAGAUGGAGAUCUGCAUAAGUGUUCCCAAACAUCAGUAAACAUUUAAAAUCACACAGGAGCUCUCACUGAAGAUUUAACAGCUUGUUGGAGUUAGAUUAGACUGUAAAUAACUGAAGCUACCAGAAGAAAAUUCCCUUUUUGUUUCUGUCCAUAGGUUGCCCUGGGCUAUGGUGGAUAUCCAAAAGGGGAAACAAAUAGUUUGUUUUCCAAGAAGGCAGAGGUUGACUUAGACCGAUGUGCAAUUGUAUGUGCAGAAGCUAAUGCAAUUAUUAUGAGUUCUGUGAGAGACCUGAGUAGCGCUGAACUUUGUCACCCCACGUAAGCCUUGCAGUGACUGUAUGAAACUGGUUGACUCAAAGGAGACAGCAAAAGUCGUUCUGCCGAAGAAAGAUGGAAAUGCUGGGUCAUGUGUGCCACUUCUGAGCUUGUUUGCACUGCGGAGUUGACUGCCAAGGAAACUACUUCUCACAGGAGUAUACAUGGGAAAGGUAGUUGCUCCCGUGGUGAAAGGGAAGAGGAUAGGAUGAUGGGUAGUGCUUACAAGCCAUUCUUCAUCUUCAGCAGAUAGGGAAGGUCCUGGGAUAGCACACCAAAGCACACAGACUUUAAAUGGAGCUUCAUUUCUCCCCUUGGCCGUAUGAUGUACAAUUUCAAACAAAUGGAAGACCUCCAGAGCAGGCUCUGCUCUUUUGUCCACUACCACAGGGUUAACGUUACCAACAACCGUUCUUCUCUCUUUGGGAAGACAUAUACCCCAUCUACAUAGCUUGUGCUCUGCUAAAGACAUGUACAGCUCCCUAGAAAUCCAGGGUCUACAUGCUUUUCUGUAUCACCAUCUAAACAUCCUGGCACUGACAGCUCAGACUUCUGAGAUUGUGGUAAGGACUUUAUUUAUAGUCAUUAUCAAAAACUUUAUCAUCUAAGGACAUUAUUUUCCAGUAGAAAACAUACUGUUUCAAGUAGUCAAACAAAAUUAUUGCUGGAAAUCUAAGUUUGGGUUUAUAUAUCACUGCCCUUAAAUUGUGUCAAAUCUUUGAGGCUACAUGAACAGAACUGUAUUUAAUGAAUGGAGUGCACUGGGAUAAGUACUGGCUUUCAUGGACUCUUGCAGUAAAGAGCUGUCUGUGUGGAUAAUAUGUGCACAGAACCCUCUAUGGAACUAAGACGUUAUUGGUGUCAGAUACUGUUAGUGGGGUUGUUUUUCCCUGAUAAAAAUGUAGCUCAUUAACUCAAGUUAUUUUUAAUAAGCUUGAUUUUGCAGAGCUUUUUGGCACAAGAUUAAUGUACAUCCUAGUUGCUUUUUUAUUUAUUUUUUAAAAAAGCCCAUCAAAUAAUACUAAAAUAGAAAUAUGAAAUCAGAAAGCUAUUUUAGAAAGUCAUGUUGUUUAAUGGUGCAUACUAUACAUUUCUCACUUAGUGUGUUUUUGUUUUUUUUUUAUCAGCAAGCUGGAGGAUUAAUGGAUGAUCCUUUGGGUAACGAUAACCAGAUAAGAUAAUAGCAAAUAUGAAAAGUACAAAUCAUAAUAUUUUUUUAGCUACAGUUAUGAAUGGCUCUGAAAUGUGACCAUGUCUGAGGAGGAGCGGUGAAAAUGAAAUGGAGCGAGGUCAUGGUGUGGGCUAAGUGUGAGACCAGGACGUGGGUGCGCUGAUUACAUAGGCUGUGGGGAAUGGGCCAGCUGUGGGGAACAGGGACAGCUCACACUAACUUGAAAGUGGCAAAGACACAAUGAUUGCAUCAAAUUGCAUAUGCUAUGCUGCAUAGGGUUUGCUUCAGCCUGUGGCUCAAGGGUGAGAAAUCAUUCGCUUUUCAUGUACCUCUAAGAAGUGCCCUCUGAUAGGCACAUAUCUAUUUUUAAAAACUUGUUUGUUUGGUUUUGUGCCGAGUUGAUAAUAUUUUGGACUGAGUUUGAUUUGCCAGUCCUUGAAACUAGACCAGUUAAUGUGGAACAUGCUUUCAUAUUUUUACAGGCUCAAUCAUUUAUAUCAUUUAGUUCUGAGACAGGGUUUUGCAGGCUGUGGUGCUGACAACUGCUUUUGUCCUUGCUUUUAGAUGCCGGCAACUGUAACACCAAUACUGGGAUUCUCUAGGGUGACCCUAAAUCCAGAAUAAUCUAUGUAAACCUUCUUUAUCUUUAAAAUGUCAUUAUGAGAAUGCUGUUAUUUGUGGCUUGGUGUCUUUCAGCAAUCAUUUCUUUUGCGCAACCUCUAUAGAGGACACUAAAGCGUUUUUAAUGGGAUUAAAUUGAAGAUUUUGUCACCUCCAAAAAAUGAAAUUGUUUGCGCUUUUCAAUGUAUCAUAUGUUUGUGUUCUCUUUGGAGAUGGCAAGCCUCUUUCUUCAGUUUCACCCUUGCCUUCUGUUAUCAGAUUUGGAAAUAUAUGUGGGCUUUCUGCUCGGUCUGGAAGCUGAGAAAGCAGCAGCAGAAAAAGUAUUUUGGUAAGGGAUAGUAUGGAAAUAGUUUAUGUGUGUGCAAGCACGCAUGUACCAUAGGGGCUGUAAGAAUUUCCCAAGGACGUUCAGCUCACCAUACAGUAUGACAAAGCCAUGCUACAGGCAUCCUGU
Numida meleagris (helmeted guineafowl) is the source of this 8682-nucleotide long non-coding RNA. RefSeq lists it as uncharacterized. The record is from RefSeq and is a predicted model, not a curated record. The transcript is spliced from 4 exons. NCBI's taxonomy places the organism in Eukaryota, Metazoa, Chordata, Aves, Galliformes, Numididae.